AACGAACGCUGGCGGCGUGCUUAACACAUGCAAGUCGAACGAGAAAGCUCUUUCGGGAGCGAGUAAAGUGGCGCACGGGUCAUUAACACGUGGAUAAUCUGCCUUUAGGAGAAGGGCAACCUGUCGAAAGACGGGCUAAUCCUUCAUAAGACCACAGUACCUUCGGGUACAGAGGUAAAAGUGGCCUCUAUUUAUAAGCUAUUGCCUAAAGAUGAGUCCGCGCACCAUUAGCAGUUGGC
RNAcentral lists this ribosomal RNA (239 nucleotides) under uncultured bacterium. RNAcentral's name for it is "partial 16S ribosomal RNA". It matches the Rfam family "Bacterial small subunit ribosomal RNA", at positions 29 to 253 of the family's 1533-position model. The record is from RNAcentral.